RNAcentral lists this ribosomal RNA (531 nucleotides) under uncultured bacterium. RNAcentral describes it as "bacterial SSU rRNA". It matches the Rfam family "Bacterial small subunit ribosomal RNA", at positions 340 to 863 of the family's 1533-position model. The record is from RNAcentral.
UACGGGAGGCAGCAGUGGGGAAUAUUGGACAAUGGGGGCAACCCUGAUCCAGCCAUGCCGCGUGUGUGAAGAAGGCCCUCGGGUUGUAAAGCACUUUCAGCGAGGAAGAACGCCUAUCGGUUAAUACCCGGUAGGAAAGACAUCACUCGCAGAAGAAGCACCGGCUAACUCCGUGCCAGCAGCCGCGGUAAUACGGAGGGUGCAAGCGUUAAUCGGAAUUACUGGGCGUAAAGCGCGCGUAGGUGGCUUGAUAAGCCGGUUGUGAAAGCCCCGGGCUCAACCUGGGAACGGCAUCCGGAACUGUCAGGCUAGAGUGCAGGAGAGGAAGGUAGAAUUCCCGGUGUAGCGGUGAAAUGCGUAGAGAUCGGGAGGAAUACCAGUGGCGAAGGCGGCCUUCUGGACUGACACUGACACUGAGGUGCGAAAGCGUGGGUAGCAAACAGGAUUAGAUACCCUGGUAGUCCACCCCGUAAACGAUGUCGACCAGCCGUUGGGUGCCUAGAGCACUUUGUGGCGAAGUUAACGCGAUAA